UGGGGAAUAUUGGACAAUGGGCGCAAGCCUGAUCCAGCCAUGCCGCGUGAGUGAUGAAGGCCUUAGGGUUGUAAAGCUCUUUCAGUGGGGAAGAUAAUGACGGUACCCACAGAAGAAGCCCCGGCUAACUUCGUGCCAGCAGCCGCGGUAAUACGAAGGGGGCUAGCGUUGUUCGGAUUUACUGGGCGUAAAGCGCACGUAGGCGGUUUGUUAAGUCAGGGGUGAAAUCCCACAGCUCAACUGUGGAACUGCCUUUGAUACUGGCAAGCUAGAGUCCGGAAGAGGUAAGUGGAACUCCUAGUGUAGAGGUGGAAUUCGUAGAUAUUAGGAAGAACACCAGUGGCGAAGGCGGCUUACUGGUCCGGAACUGACGCUGAGGUGCGAAAGCGUGGGGAGCAAACAG
RNAcentral lists this ribosomal RNA (403 nucleotides) under uncultured bacterium. Its description in RNAcentral is "bacterial SSU rRNA". It matches the Rfam family "Bacterial small subunit ribosomal RNA", at positions 355 to 775 of the family's 1533-position model. The record is from RNAcentral.